AGAGAUAGAUAUUAUUCUUAUAAAUGAGGAAAGCAGAUGCAAAGAUUGAAUACUGGUCCAAGGUCACAUAGGUAAUAUAUAACAAAGCAAAGAUUCGAGCCCAAAGUUGUCAAAUCCCAAACCCACAAUGUUUCUGCUACACUAUACUGCCUCUCCAUUUAAACAGAAACUAUUUUACUGGGAGGAAAUGCUUAAUUAAAUAGAAAGCCACAAAAAGGACUGUAGUUAUUAUGUAAAGAUCUAUAAACUGGCAGUCUGGAUAAUUAACUCUGUAUUCAGAACCUUCAUCUGGUAUCUGUAUUUCUUUUAUAUUGGCAAUUAGCUAACUAGGAUCAUUAAAGGAACAACAGCUAUUUCUCCUGAGACUCAAAGAUUUCAUAAGGUAUAUUCAAAAUGCGCUCUUUCUCUUCUAUGCUUUAUACAUUUGUUAUAACUGAUAAAUUAAGUAGUUAAAUUACAGAAUUUCUGAGUUUACUCCAAGGAGUUCAGCUAAUACAUACUCAAAAAUGGCAGUUUUUUGGUUUCCCUCUUUUUUUGUUUUUUAAUGAAAAGGCAAGAUUUUUAACACUCUCCAAUUAAGGUUAAUAAAUUGGAACAAUAAUAAGGCAAAAUUAAUUUGAAAAAGCAAUACCCAAGUACUCUGGAAACAUAUCAUAUUUUAUCUUGGUUUCUUGCUGUUUACAUAUAUGCCUAACUUUCUCAACCAGGGCUAUAAAAUUCCAAAAGGCAGGGUCUUUGACCUAUACAUAUCCAUAAUACCUUGCUGUGGAAGACUCAAAAUAUUUUUUAAUGCCAAUUAUUAGAAAAAAGAAAUCAAUUUGCUUUUAUAUCCCCUGUGUUAGGUUUUAAAUAUGUCCACAAAUUCUUUAGUGUUCCUCCCAUUGAAACAUGAAGUCUAAGUCCCCUCCUCUCAAGGGAGAGUUGACUUAGUGACCUCCUUCUAUGGAAAAAAAUAAGGCCUAAGUGACAGUAUAUGAUUUCAAAGUCGACGUCAUAAAGGGCACUGCAGCUUCAUCCUUGCUCCCUCUUUUGGAUUAUUCAAUAUAGGGUAAACUAGCAGCCACAUCCUGAGAACACUCAAACAGCUUACAGAAAGAUGCACACGGGUAGGGACUAAGGCUUCCUGCCAAUAAUCAGGGAAGAAGUAAAGUCUCCUAAGAACAGCCCUAUGAAGUGAGCCAUCUUCCUGCCCCAAACGAGCCUUCAGAUGACUACAGCCAGGCCUACGUCUUGUCUACAAUGUCAUCAUGACACAGUGAGUCAGGAUAGCCCUGCUAACUGGCUCCUGAAUUUCUGGCCCACAAACCUGUGGGAGGGAAUAGGUAUGGAAGGAUAUACAAGAAUUUCAAACGUUUAUUGAUUGUGCGAACAAUGAUUGCCUGCCAGACGUUAUCGGAGAGCACAUCUGUACAUACACUUGCAGACCUGUUGUGCUGACGGGGGUAAAGCUCCAAUGCAUGUACUACUGGAGACUGGUAUCUUCAGUUGCUCCCAGUGACCUGCACUCGCCAUCCAUUCAUGAAGGCAUUGAUCACUAGGAAUGAAGAGGGGUGCCUCUUCGUCUUCCAGUUCCUUGUGGCGAAGUCCGGCUCCUGACGGUGGAAGCAUCAAUGGAAAGAAAUAACUUUUCGUCCUAUCUUACUAUAAGCAGCACUGACAUUCUAGAAAGCAUUCCUUUGAUGGCAAGUCCUGUGCCAAUGUAGAUACAGCCAUUUUGAUACAGGCUGUUUUGUUAUAGUCAAUUUGCUGACACACAGCUUUGACACAGUCAUUUUGAUGCCAGGAACAUCUUGAUGUGGCUGCCUUGAAGUGGCUGUUUUGAUAUGGGAACAUUUUGACUCUGCCUAAAAACAAACCAAUAAACUUUUCACUUAGAAAAUGUUAUUACCAAGUAAUGUACAUUGACUGAUCUCACCCACUCCCUGAAGUAGCAGCCAGACUGCAGAGGUGGAUAGUGGAAACCUUGAUGGGGAAAAAAAUCACCAUGAGCGGGGGAGAAGGCUGGAACAGUGGACCAAAUCAAUAACACAAACCGAAGAAAGAGAAAGCCCCAUUUUCCAAAGGAGGAAACAGCGGCUCAGCAACAGGAGGUAUCUUGCCCAAGGUCACCCAGCUCAGAUUUGGCUGGGAGGCCAACAUCAAACCGGGCAGACGCCAUACUCAUUCCAGACCCCGUGAGGAAGAAAGCGGCAGUAUGGGUUAUA
Herpailurus yagouaroundi (jaguarundi) is the source of this 2204-nucleotide long non-coding RNA. RefSeq lists it as uncharacterized. The transcript has 5 exons. NCBI's taxonomy places the organism in Eukaryota, Metazoa, Chordata, Mammalia, Carnivora, Felidae. The record is from RefSeq and is a predicted model, not a curated record.